CUACGGGUGGCUGCAGUGAGGAAUAUUGCACAAUGGGGGGAACCCUGAUGCAGCAACGCCGCGUGGAGGAUGACGCAUUUCGGUGUGUAAACUCCUUUUAUAUGUCAAGAAAAUGACGGUAGCAUAUGAAUAAGCACCGGCUAACUCCGUGCCAGGCAGCCGCGGUAAUAAGGAGGGUGCAAGCGUUACUCGGAAUCACUGGGCGUAAAGGACGCGUAGGCGGGUUGGAAAGUCAGGUGUGAAAUCCUACAGCUUAACUGUAGAACUGCACUUGAAACUUCUAAUCUAGAGUAUGGGAGGGGGAGAUGGAAUUAGUGGUGUAGGGGUAAAAUCCGUAGAUAUCACUAGGAAUACCUAAAGCGAAGGCGAUCUCCUGGAACAUUACUGACGCUAAGGCGUGAAAGCGUGGGGAGCAAACAGGAUUAGAUACCCCUGUAGUC
RNAcentral lists this ribosomal RNA (440 nucleotides) under uncultured bacterium. RNAcentral describes it as "partial 16S ribosomal RNA". It matches the Rfam family "Bacterial small subunit ribosomal RNA", at positions 339 to 795 of the family's 1533-position model. The record is from RNAcentral.